This 4221-nucleotide long non-coding RNA is filed under the name Zea mays. RNAcentral describes it as "long non-coding RNA (ZMAY_LNC004277)". The record is from RNAcentral. Lineage: Eukaryota; Viridiplantae; Streptophyta; Magnoliopsida; Poales; Poaceae.
GGGUGCCCGAUCUUUCGAUGAGAGAUGAUGGAGGUGGAAAACUUGUUGGAGAACGACGUUGGUUGCCCGACUACCACAACUAAGAUGGUGUGGCGCCUUGAGCGACAGGUACACCGUCUCCUGAUAACUACGAUUUGGGGUGGAGGUCGACGUUGUGCUAUCCGUGAUACACCCAGCCCAGGUGGGGUUGGCCGAGGCCCAACAAAUUAGGGUUGCCCGGAGCCCAACAGUUCAUUAAGCACACCCAACUCAGGGAAAGGCCCAAUCACCCCAAAAGACUAGUCCAAUGGGGGAAGGGUGGCUCUCCCUUUUAAAGUGGCUUCCUCCUCCCAAGUUAAGUGAGGUGGGAUAAUUCUGAGGCUCACACGGUCGCCGUCCGACUACAAUUGGGCCAACUGGGUCAAUUGCGUCUUUGCCAACGGGUAAUAGUGGAGGAUGUCCUCAUCAUUCCCACCUUCUUAAAAUGGGCCCUGGCUUUGAUACCAGAUGAUACACCCAGCCCAGGUGGGGUUGGCCGAGGCCCAACAAAUUAGGGUUGCCCGGAGCCCAACAGUUCAUUAAGCACACCCAACUCAGGGAAAGGCCCAAUCACCCCAAAAGACUAGUCCAAUGGGGGAAGGGUGGCUCUCCCUUUUAAAGUGGCUUCCUCCUCCCAAGUUAAGUGAGGUGGGAUAAUUCUGAGGCUCACACGGUCGCCGUCCGACUACAAUUGGGCCAACUGGGUCAAUUGCGUCUUUGCCAACGGGUAAUAGUGGAGGAUGUCCUCAUCAAUCCGACUACAACAACCACAAGGGUGCUGCGCCUUAGCGAUAGUUACACCGGCUCCUGUUGUUGCUGCUCUUGCCGUGCCAAGAACAGCCUUGAACCUGCAAGCAAUCGAGAACAAGCAAGAACAAGAUAAAAAGCAGACGCUCACGGAUCUGAUAGAGUUGGGGUUCUGUUUCAAGUAUCCGGGUGGUCUAGCCGACACACGCGUUUACAAGGAAGUAGCAAAGGCUAAACUUACAUCAAACAAAACCCAAGUUCUUUGGUGGCUGCUAGUUGCUUAAAUAGAGGAAUAGAAAGGAGUUCUAAUGGAGAACGAAACUCUCUCGGCAGUUUCUGGACGCCUCGUUUGGUUUUUGUAAUUGAUUCUUGGUGCACAUGAAAGUAGACGAAGAGAGCUUUCCAACAAGUAGUUAUUUGCACUAAACAACCUUGGGAGUGGAAAGUUAUGCUCCAUUUAAUUUGGUGCAUGCUGCAGUUACGAAAUUGACUUGGGUAGAGCAGGAGUUCACUCGGCAGUUUCUGGACGCUUAGUGUCUGAUCUCUCAUUGAUUCUUGAUCCACUAGAAAGUAGACAAAGAGACCUUUCCAACAAGUGCUUAUUUGCAUUAAACAACCUUGGGAGCUGAAAGAUAUGCCCUCUUAAACUUGCACUUGUUGUAGUUUCGAAAUCCCCUCAAGUGGAGCAGCAUUUAUUGCCUUGUUGCCUUCUCAAAUUCUAGAUGGUUCACCUCCCAAACACCUUAGAAUAAUAAAGUAAUCAUAAGGUAUUAGUACCUCAUUUAAGGAAUGAUUAGCUUCAACAACAAGGAACGAGUUCACCUGAUAAUUAAAUUUAAGUGCACGGACUCGUUUCACUGGUCCAUGAUUAAAAGGUGAAGGAGGUCGCUGGUGUGGUGUAUUGAUGGCAGUGAUGUCCUCAUCAUCCUCCCCUUCUUGUAAUAGAGUCGUCCUCGACUCUAGUGUAUGCUCCUCACCCAAGUAUAUCUUUAAAUUUGAUGAUGUGCUUGCUUUGUUGGAAAUGUUGGAAAUAUCAUUACUUGGUCCCCAAUCAACUUCUUUGUUCCUCAAUGUCUUUGUAGCAGGAGCCAUUAACAUGGUCAUAUCUGUGCGGGUUAUGUUCUCAUCAUUCUCCCCUUCUUGAUAGCAAACCGUCCUCGGUUUUGCAUCAUGAUUGAUGUUGAUGACUAAGCUUUUAUUAAUGUCUUUCAAAUAUAAACCUGAAACUUCAACUAAAGUACAUGGAAACAAGAGAUUCUUUUCUUCUUGAGAACAUACCAAUAUCUUAUUUGCACAAAGUGAAGAAACAACAUAUCUACAUGAAAUAGAAAUUCUAUGCACAAAAAAUUGUCCUAUGUUGUUGUACUUGCCAGCAAUAUAAAAUAUAUCAUGAGAAGGACAUGGUAUAGUUGAUCUAGCAAAUAAAAUAUUUUCCAAAUUACCGAGCUCAAAAAGAUCAUCAAAUUCAAUAUAGCCCCAAGUAUUUAAAGAAGAGAGCAAAUUUAUUUCUUCAGUUUUGUUUGCAAUACAACUUACAUGUUCCUUUUUAGCCAAAAUGUUUGGUUCAUUAAUAGAUGUAACAUGUUCAUUUACUAGUUGUUGUCUUAGUACAUGUGAAUCAUUAUCCCACAAAUCUUCACUAUCACAAGUGUCAGCAAUCAAUUCUUCUUGUGAUGAUGGAAAAACAACAGCUGGUUUCAUUAUUUUGUGUUCUUGAUCAGCAUGUAGAGCAGAUGCAAAAGAGGAACUAUGGCUCACAUGUUUAGUGCUUGUAUAAUUGUAUAAUAGAAUCUCAUUUUCAGCUUUACAUGCAAGCAAAAAUAAGUGAGAAAUGUGUUUGUAUGCUUCAUGCAUGACUAUGGUCUGAAUUUCAGAAUUGAGUCCUUUCAUGAACCUAGUCAUUACAUCUUCCAUGCAUUCAUCUAAACGAGCAAACAUGGUACAAAUUUUAAAAUCAUAAUAAUAAUCUUUCACAGUCCUAGCACCCUGCUUUAAGGUGUCUAAUUUAGAAAGCAAAUGAUCAGAAUAGUAUGCAGGAAUGAAUGCAUCUCUAAAAUGAAGUUUGAAGUCUUCCCAAGAUUGUGGAACUUUGUUGUGCCUACAAAUGUAUUUCCAUUCCAUCAAUGCGUGCUCAGUUAACAAAUUAGAGGCAAUAUAAAUCUUUUGUUUUUGAGAUAGAUCAUGCUUAUCAAAUUCCUUAUCUACCUUUAGCUCCCAAUCAAUGUAUGCAUGAGGAUCGAAUUUACCGGCAUAUGAAGGCAAGUGUUGAAUGAUGCCUUGAAUAUAAUGUUCGGUUGGCUCAAAAAUCUUCAUAUCACCUGCCAUGUUUAGUAAAGACAAGAAAACAAUAAAAAAUAUCUUUGAUCCUAUAAACUACAAGGAAUCAUUGUUGUAAUCUCUCAUUCUCAAACUGGUUAAGCAAGUUCUUACAAAUUCUCACCACGCAAUACAGGAGGUGCCGGCAAACAGCAAGAACAACAACAACGGUGGCAGCUAGCACAACCUCGUGUGUUGUAGAAAAAUUUGUGGAUUUAUAGGUGGCUGAUAAAACAAUAGAUCCAAGGAAUAGCUAGUACCAGGUUAGCCACAACAAGUUGAAUAAACGUUCCACAAUGGUGUUGUGCUGGUCCUAGUCCAAACCGUAAUAGAGACGCGAGCCGUUACACAAAUAGUAUCACCAAAAGCUGAGAACAGCAAUCUGAUUUCUGAAACUAUAAAAAGAAGGCACACAAACUGCCUUUUGUUUUGUUGCACUUACAAAUUUUAUCUACCAAAAUUCAGAACUGGUUUUUCUCUCUCUUUUUUUGCACGUGUCUUUUUUUUGUUUUGCUGAUUAGUGCGGCUUUUUUUAUGCACUCGUGAUACACCCAGCCCAGGUGGGGUUGGCCGAGGCCCAACAAAUUAGGGUUGCCCGGAGCCCAACAGUUCAUUAAGCACACCCAACUCAGGGAAAGGCCCAAUCGCCCCAAAAGACUAGUCCAAUGGGGGAAGGGUGGCUCUCCCUUUUAAAGUGGCUCCCUCCUCCCAAGUUAAGCAAGGUGGGAUAAUUCUGAGGCUCACACGGUCGCCGUCCGACUACAAUUGGGCCAACUGGGCCAAUUGCGUCUUUGCCAACGGGUAAUAGUGGAUGAUAUCCUCAUCAUUCCCACCUUCUUAAAAUGGGCCCUAGCUCUGAUACCAGAUGAUACGCCCAGCCCAGGUGGGGUUGGCCGAGGCCCAACAAAUUAGGGUUGCCCGGAGCCCAACAGUUCAUUAUGCACACCCAACUCAGGGAAAGGCCCAAUCGCCCCAAAAGACUAGUCCAAUGGGGGAAGGGUGGCUCUCCCUUUUAAAGUGGCUUCCUCCUCCCAAGUUAAGCGAGGUGGGAUAAUUCUGAGGCUCACACGGUCGCCGUCCGACUACAAUUGGGCCAAUUGCGUCUUUGCCAACGGGUAAUAGUGGAGGAUGUCCUCAUCA